This 433-nucleotide ribosomal RNA is filed under the name uncultured bacterium. Its description in RNAcentral is "partial 16S ribosomal RNA". It matches the Rfam family "Bacterial small subunit ribosomal RNA", at positions 29 to 507 of the family's 1533-position model. The record is from RNAcentral.
AACGAACGCUGGCGGCAUGCCUAACACAUGCAAGUCGAACGAGACCUCCGGGUCUGCUGGCUCACGCGUGCGUAGCGCGUGGGAACCUGCCCUUAUGCUCGGAAUAACUCUCCGACAUGGGUGCUAAUACCGGAUAAUGUCUUCGGACCAAAGAUUUAUCGCCUUUGUAUGGGCCCGCGUUGGUUUAGCUUGUUGGUAUGGUAAAAGCCUACCAAGGCUACGAUCCAUAGCUGGUCUGAGAGGAUGAUCCGCCACACUGGGAAUGAGACACGGCCCAGAAUCCUAGGCGAGGCAGGAGAGGGGAAUACUGGACAAUGGGGGAAAGCAUGAUCCAGCUAUGCCGGGUGAGUGAUGAAGGCGUUAGGGAUGUAAAGCUCUUUUACCCGGGAUGAUACUGACAGUACCGGGAGAAUAAGCUCCGGUUAACUCCGUG